This is a long non-coding RNA of Xenia sp. Carnegie-2017, 1380 nucleotides long. RefSeq lists it as uncharacterized. NCBI's taxonomy places the organism in Eukaryota, Metazoa, Cnidaria, Anthozoa, Malacalcyonacea, Xeniidae. The transcript is spliced from 4 exons. The record is from RefSeq and is a predicted model, not a curated record.
GUGAGACACAUUUCAUCAAAAUUUGGCCAAAUUGGAAAGAUGGUAUAAAGGAAGAGUUAAAAGGAGAUAUAACUGAUAUUUAUAAAUAUUACCAAGAAACAACAGAUGUCGUCACUGGCCAGCUUUACACUUGGUUAUCGAAUUCCAAGAGCGUGGUUGAUCAAGUCUAUGCUUGGGAUCGAUGGAUUAAAAUUUGGAGUCGGUUCACGGUGGAAAGUUUUCUUGAAAGUAAUAUUAAUGCGAUUAAAGCUAAAGUGUCUGUUGAAGACCAGAAAGACUUAGAUUUAGUCAAACUUGAAAACCUUUUGCCAUGGUCUAACGAUGCCGUUCGUGGUUUUUCUGUAUUUUGCUAUGUGCCCGAAAUUGAACAGUCCCUUGACCACUUUCUUUCUUUUAAACAGGGAAAGUGGUCAUCUGGUAAGAUGCAUUCCUUGAAAGGUGGUAUGCAUAACUUGCCCAAAGCGUUUUUACGGGUAUCAAGAAAAAUAUCCACUGAAAGAUGUCGUAGAGGUGUCAUGUUUUUCUGUCAAUAAUGCAACAUUUUGUAUAAGGCAAAGGCAGUAAUUAUUACCACGCCGAUAAACAUUUUGCGUCAAAUAAGGUUCAAAUCACAGCUUGAUGAUAUCAAAUCCCAGUUGGCAAUAAUAAAAAGCGUCCAGGCAAUGGGAAAUGUUUUUAAUCAGCAUUCAACAAAAAUCUUUCUUCAAACCAAAGAAAGAUUCUGGGAAAAUGAAGGAAUUAAAGGUGGUUUUUCAAAGACAAACCUUCCCGUAGGCCAGAUUCAUUACGUCACCCCGGAGGACUGCAAAACGAAAGAGGGGCUUUUAAUGAUUUACACGUGGACGAAGGAGGCUCUGCUUUUUGGGUCGAUGAAAGAAAAAGUGGUGAAACGGAAAGUAGUUGAACAACUCGAAGAAAUUCAUCCAGCCUUCAAAGAAGAUAUGGUGACAACCUUUAUUGUUCAUGCUUGGAAUAAUCUGCCAUCUUAUCAAGGAGCGUAUGGAGAAGUGAAAACAUCUCAUUACGAAAGUACAAGGCAUUUAUGGGAGCCCAUGGGUAACGUUCAUUUCGCUGGUGAAAGAAUUUCUUUUACCCGUAUGUGGAUACAAGGUGCUUUAGAAAGUGGUUUAAAAGCUGCAUUUCAAGUUUAUGAACGACAUAUGGAAAGAACCUGGAACCAUAUAUUGUGAGGUUUUUCUGUAAUUGAGAUUAAAGUUUGUGUCCACUAUUUAUGAAAACCUUUAUAGUCUAACUUUUAGUUUCAUGUACUUGGCCACUGACGUACUGAUUUAUAACAUUUUCAACACACUUUUCUUUUUCUGUGUUCGCAUUUCAAGUAAUUUGUCUUUUCAAAAUUAAAUCAUUUUUUAAAAGAUUUUA